This 330-nucleotide small RNA is filed under the name Oryza sativa Japonica Group (Japanese rice). RNAcentral describes it as "sRNA Os05g0311225". The record is from RNAcentral. Lineage: Eukaryota; Viridiplantae; Streptophyta; Magnoliopsida; Poales; Poaceae.
CACGCCGGCGCUUGGCGUGGCGGCGUGGCGGCGGCGGCGUGGUGACGGCGGCGGCGGCGUGGCGUUGCAUGCGGCGGCGGCGUUGCGCGGCGGCGAAGGCAGCGGCGUGGCGUGGCGGCGGCGGCGUUGCGCGCGCGGCGGCGAAGGCGGCGGCGGGGCGUGCCGAUGGCGGCGUGGCGCGGCGUCGGCGUGGCACGGCGUCUCAUGGCGGGCGGCCGACGGAGAGAGAGAUCGAGAUCGGAGAUCGUUGAAGGGAGAGGCGGCGGCGGCUCUCACCCCAGAGAUGCGGCGGCGGCGGAGGAGGCGGAGGCGGCGGCGAGGACGACGAGC